CAUGAUGCAAGGGUUCUCGCCAACUCCGAUCUUUACAGUAUUGCUGAGGACAAGCUUGGUGGAUGGCUUUUCCCUCGAGAGAAAUCGGUGAUCGUACAUGGUGUGGACAUCCCGGUCCAUCUCAUUGGUGAUGCAGCAUACCCAUUACAGCGCUGGCUAAUGAAGGGCUACACCCAGCAUGUUCACUUAUCCCCCGAACAGACAUCAUAUACCCAUGCCCUAAGUUCGGCCCGUAUGGCAGUGGAGAAUGCGUUUGGGCGUUUAAAAGGACGCUGGCGCUGCCUCAUGAAGAGGAAUGAUGUGGACUUGAAAAUAAUGCCAGAUAUAGUAGCGGCCUGCUGCAUUCUCCAUAACAUUUGUGAGAUACAAAAGGAAAACUUUCUCCCCGAGUGGAAUGUACAUGAUCAUGGGGCGGGGGUCACUGUACAUGAUGGCACCAGGCUUGGUGGGGCGGCAUGACGCUGCCAGCGAGUGCAUAAGGGCCACCAUUGCAGCUAAUCUUCAAACAAUGUUGCAGUAGAGAAAACAGACAAGUUUUUGUGUGCAAACAAUUUUUGUUUAUUUUGUUUUUUAAGUUAUAAAAAUUUGGUUCAAAA
Long non-coding RNA from Pseudophryne corroboree (corroboree frog), 596 nucleotides. RefSeq lists it as uncharacterized. NCBI's taxonomy places the organism in Eukaryota, Metazoa, Chordata, Amphibia, Anura, Myobatrachidae. The record is from RefSeq and is a predicted model, not a curated record. The transcript has 2 exons.